Molecule: ribosomal RNA, 334 nt
Filed under: uncultured bacterium
Lineage: Bacteria
Description: bacterial SSU rRNA
Rfam family: Bacterial small subunit ribosomal RNA
Source: RNAcentral
CGUGUAGGCGGUUUGUUAAGUCUGGCGUGAAAGCUCUCGGCUAAACCGGGAGAGGUCGUUGGAUACUGGCGAACUAGAGGAUGGUAGAGGCGUGUGGAAUUCCGGGUGUAGUGGUGAAAUGCGUAGAGAUCCGGAGGAACACCAGUGGCGAAGGCGACACGCUGGGCCAUACCUGACGCUAAAGCGCGACAGCAUGGGGAGCAAACGGGAUUAGAAACCCCGGUAGUCCAUGCCGUAAACGAUGCCAGCUAGAUGUUCAGUUCUCGCAAGAGAACGGGGUAUCGAAGCAAACGCGAUAAGCUGGCCGCCUGGGGAGUACGGUCGCAAGGCUAAA